Oncorhynchus keta (chum salmon) is the source of this 828-nucleotide long non-coding RNA. RefSeq lists it as uncharacterized. The transcript is spliced from 3 exons. Lineage: Eukaryota; Metazoa; Chordata; Actinopteri; Salmoniformes; Salmonidae. The record is from RefSeq and is a predicted model, not a curated record.
CCGAGCUUCCAUGACCCUGGCCACAGCCAAGUAGGCUACUAGCCUACGUAAUAUUUAAUAACUUUUAAAACCAUGAGCAUAGAGAGACUGUCAACGAAUACAGCAAAGAGCUGCAGUUUUUAUGAAUGCGGUGUGACUCGAGCUUCGCCAUCAGGUGGAAGACGGUGUCCCCUCUCUCUGGUCAGUCUCGCCGGAGGAAAGGAAGGAGAGAGCAGGGACGGUGAGAGGCGGUUGGGAAAAAUCGUUUUGAACAGUCAUCCAACAGUCAUCAAUUCCAAGUCGGAAACACGGGCAUCUUUCUAGAGCUCCGACUUUUCGACCUAAAGAUCACUGACGUCGUGAUUUGACCUCGUUGACUAUCAGAUGCAGAUGCCGAUGCCCUGAAGAGGGGGCGACACUACUCCAGCUAAUUUCCCCAGGGACAUGGGGGAGGGGGCCAGAGAGGGCUAAGGCUAACCCAGGGAGGGGGGCCCGACACCUUACAUCCAGCCAGAUCCUUGUCCAAGCUAUAGAGCAAAAUAGUAAUGGCCUCUUUUUGUAGGCACUAACUCCGCCAUGGUCCAGAGUGCAUUUACAAAAACUUGUUUGGUCAUUUUUACAUGUUCUUUACACCUGUCCAGUGUGCAUUUUCAGGUGAUUAGAAUGCUUGUUUGGGGCCAACCACCACCCGUGGCCACCAGGGGACGCCACUACAUCUAGCCUGCUCCCUGCAGCAGGAGAUGGGGGGAGAGGACCGGAGAGUGCUGGGGCCGACCCAGUAGGGGCAGCUAACUCCCAGAGAGGGGGCCUGACCUCCACCCCGGCCACCAAGGGGAGCCACUAGAUCUA